This 602-nucleotide ribosomal RNA is filed under the name Priestia endophytica. Its description in RNAcentral is "bacterial SSU rRNA". It matches the Rfam family "Bacterial small subunit ribosomal RNA", at positions 83 to 649 of the family's 1533-position model. Lineage: Bacteria; Bacillati; Bacillota; Bacilli; Caryophanales; Bacillaceae. The record is from RNAcentral.
UUUCAAAUCUUAGCGGCGGACGCGGUGUAGUAACACGUGGGCAACCUGCCCUUGAGACGGGGAUAUUCUCCGGGAAACCGGAGCUAAUACCGGAUAACACAUAUCUUCCAUGAGGAUAUGUUAGAAGGUGGCUUUUACUACCACUCAAGGAUGGGCCCGCGGCGCAUUAGCUAGUUGGUGAGGUAACGGCUCACCAAGGCGACGAUGCGUAGCCGACCUGAGAGGGUGAUCGGCCACACUGGGACUGAGACACGGCCCAGACUCCUACGGGAGGCAGCAGUAGGGAAUCUUCCGCAAUGGACGAAAGUCUGACGGAGCAACGCCGCGUGAGUGAUGAAGGUUUUCGGAUCGUAAAGCUCUGUUGUUAGGGAAGAACAAGUACCUGUUGAAUAAGCAGGUACCUUGACGGUACCUAAACCAAAAAGCCACGGCUAAACUACGUGCCAGCAGCCGCGGGUAAUACCGUAGGUGGCAAGCGUUUGUCCGGAAAUUUAUUGGGCGUAAAUGCGGCGCGCAAGGCGGGUUUCCUUAAGUCUGAUGUGAAAGCCCCACGGCUUCAACCCGGGGAGGGGUCCAUUGGAAACUGGGGGAACUUUGAGUGC